This 29-nucleotide non-coding RNA is filed under the name Homo sapiens (human). Lineage: Eukaryota; Metazoa; Chordata; Mammalia; Primates; Hominidae. The record is from RNAcentral.
UCCAGUUCCUACGUAGAGGAGAUCUUGGA